GACUGGGCUUUGCUCCAUGCCAUAUCCUGCCUUAACUUCUUCAUCUCCAGAUUAACAGAAUGGGAAAACACCAUUGAAAAGGAGAUCAUGAUGGAUAUGAACAGUAGCGAGAGAAGCAAUGAACCAGAAGUUCUUCAGGAAUCUGCAAGUCAAAAAACAGAAACCCAAAACCUUGAUCAUGUCGAAACUAAGGAAGGUAUGCGUCCGAAAUCUGUACCAGCACACUACAACAGAUAUUGAAUUUAGCAGCAUUCACUGUUAUAUUUUAGGGAUUAUGCAACUGUAUCUUAACAGCCCUUAUAUUCUGCAACAGAGGCUGAUACAGCAUAUCUUAAUGUUACAGUUAAAGUAUAGGCAAUAAUUUAUUGCUGCUGCAUAGACCUAUUUUUCUAUUAAUGAUUAGAGACUCUCUUUUUUGCAGUGGCAGGAAGAAGAGAAGGAUUCACAUACAAAGAUGCACUAGAGAAGGAAGUAAAAGUUACAAAAGCUACGUACAAGGAUGCAUUGGAGAAGGGAACUAAGAAAGAAGAAAAUGGGGAAGGAAGAAGCAAGACGAGAGCAGAAAAGAAUAGCAGCGAAGGAAGGACGAUGACAAAGGAGAAGAUAGAAAAGAAGAAGAAGGUAAGAACAGAGGAAGAGAGUGAAGAUAUGGAGGGUGAUGAGAUUUUAGAGACUGAAUCAUCUUGGCUAAUGAAACUAGGAAGAUAUGGUAAACAAAGCUCUUUCUCAUGUUCAGCUUCUUUUAAAUGGUGAAUUAGGAAGCAAUUUUCUGUGGGAAUCUGUGACAAGUUUUUAAAGAAUUGAUCUAAUUAAGGAUUAAUCUUGUUGAUAUUUUUAGGGCAACUUUUCUAUGUAAAAAACUGUUAAAGUAAAAUGAGGAGGUUUCUCAUAGAUUUUAAAUUUUAAUAGUUUUUUAUUGUUUAAAUUUUUUAGAGGUCUUUAAAAGAAAGCUUUUCAAUCCAUCAAUUAGUGGGUUAAAAAAAUUAUUAGAAUUUUUAAAAAUUUUAUUUUAAACAAUUUUACUGGAAUAAAAAUUUUAAAAUCUUAAAAAAUCUUUCACCUCCGUCCCUCGGGACCAAUAAGGGUAGUUCAGAAAUAUUCACAUGUGUAUCGAUUACGCCUUUCGGCCUGAUCUUAGGCCCUAACUCACUCUCCGUGGACGAACCUUGCGGAGGAACUCUUAUGUUUUCGGAACAUUAGAUUCUCAUAAUGUUUGCAUUAUUCAAAUCGACAUUCUCGCUUCCGCUUCGUCCACCCCUACUCGCGCGGGUGCUUCCCUCUAAGGCGGAACGCUCCCCUACCGAACAUCAAAAAUUAGAAAUUAAUUUAAAUUUCAAAAGAUUAAAUGAUUAUUAAAAAUUUUAUUUAUUAAAUUUUUUAUUAUUACAUAUUUAAUAUUUAAAUCUAAUAUUAAAUUUGACCAUAAUAAUUUUAUUAUAUUAUUUUAAAAUUUUUAUAACGAUUUACUACUGUCAUUUUUUUCGCUAUAAAUAAUCUUCAAAAACACUCCUAUUUUUCUAUUUUAUUUUUUUACUUUAUUUUUUAUAAAGAUAAAUUUUUAUUAUUCUAAUUCUAUAAAUUAAAUUCUAAAAAAUCUAUUUAAUUAUGAAAUUAUACAAUAUUCAACGCAAUUCAAAUUUUAUUAUUUUAUCAUAUGUUUUGAACCGCAUAUCUCUCACUAACAUAAAGAAAUUCCAAUGUAAAUAUGGUAUAUCACCAAUGCUAUAUAUGUAUAUAUUUCCUUUUCUAUAAUAUAUUGAGGUAUGUGUUUGGGGUUCUUUGGACAUUUUGGCAAUGAUGGGUUGGCGUUUCUUGGAGAAUGAGGUAGAAAUUUUGCAGUAAGCACUUCAAAUCAUAAAAUGGGUUGAAAUUUGGCGUGGAUAUUACGUAAAAGUUGCAUGAUUGAUUAGUUGGAUUCAACGCAAUAUGAAAAAUGCAUACAAAUUUCCCACAAAAGCAAACCCUCUUCUCCACACCCAAAUGGACGUUUCUUAAAAAACACUAUUUUAGUGCUCCAAUAAUAAUUUUUCAAAAACUACAAUUUAUUAUCAUAUAGCCAUUGAACUAAGACAAAAAAAAAAACAAACUUGCUUGUCGCUUUUAGACAUUGGCCCCAUCACUUGCCUCUUUAAAGAACUCCCUCGCCUGCCUACAGGGCAGAACCAGAAGCUUUAGAUGAAGACAGUGAUUAAUGAUGUUAAGUUUUUAUUAAAAGCAAUAUAUAGAUUACUUCUCUUUUCUUUUUAUUUCAGUAAUCCCUUUUAUAAUAGCUUUGUUAACAAUUACUUUUUGAUGAAUUGACCAAGUCUAAUGUAAAAAUAUAAAAAAAAAAGUACCAACAAACAAUAUAAAAUAAAUUAAAUAUAAAAAAUACCUUAAAAACAUUUAACUUUUUUCUUUUAUUAUAGAUCAAACUCAAAACUUCUUAAUUUACAAAUAAAAAAAUCUGAGCUUUAACAACCACAAGCAUAUAACAAUACUUUUUCAUUAUAAAAAAUGACAAUUAAAAUUUCAUAAAUGUGUAAUCACAAAACAAUAACACAAACAAACAUACAUAUAUAUAUUAUAAUAUUUUAAAAAAAUUAUUACUUAGUUCCAUAAUAAAUUAAUUGGUCUCUCGAUUUUAAAAAAUAUAUUCAAACGUUUUUUAUAUUUUAAAAUGCCUACUAAUUAAUCCUUCCACUAACUUUUUUCGUUAAAUAUUUUACUAUUUAAUCUCUAUAAUUUUAAAAAUUUUUAUUAAUUAAUAAAAUGAAUAACUAAUAAAUUUUUUAAAAUAUUUUAAUAUAUUUUUUAAAAUAAAAAAAUCAAUUAAUAAAUUCUUUUAGAAACUAAGUAAUAAUUUUCUCAAAUAUUUUUAAAAGAAUACUUGCAUGCAGGUGCAAAUUGUUGCAAGCAUUUUCCACAACAGAGACACCGAGAAAAUCAAGUUAAUCGCGUUACUUGUCGUCUGGGCUAUCAUAAGUCAACCAAUACAAAAAUUAAAAAAAAAUGUUCAUCCAAGAAAAUUCUGUGGAUUCAAAUUCAAUUCCGAGUUAAAUUAACAAAUCUUUUAUUUGGUGAAAGAUUACGAAUUACCAAAGCUUCCACACUCACGUCCUUUUAUUUAAUUACGAAUUAAAGGAUCUUUUAUUGGGCACAUUAUCAGGUGGUCUAGGUGCACCACUUUAUCCUACUGUGAUACAAUAUUAAAUUAAUAAUAUAAUAAUACGUAACUAAAAAAUUUAAAAUUUAAUAAAUUUAAAAUAAUUUAUAAUAUAAUCUUUACAAUUUAAUCGAGUUCAAUUGCAAGAUUAUGGAAUGGGUCAAGUUAUUUGCCAAGAAAGCUCCACCUACUCUGCUAAGAAUUGAUCAGAAAGAUUUGACCCCAGACACUGACCUCGUAAGCUUUCUAAGAGACUCGUUAGAAAUUUCAUACCUUUAUGCUCUGAUUGUUUCUUGGCUUGAAGAUUGAAGAAGAAGCUUUACUCAGUUCCUUUUUGCUUAUUCUAUAAAUCCCCAUUUCUGCUGUUCCAAUUGCAAAACGUACAGAGAAACAUACAUCUAUUCAUCCAUCCCAAGAAC
Molecule: long non-coding RNA, 3564 nt
Filed under: Manihot esculenta (cassava)
Lineage: Eukaryota; Viridiplantae; Streptophyta; Magnoliopsida; Malpighiales; Euphorbiaceae
Description: long non-coding RNA (MESC_LNC007628)
Source: RNAcentral